RNAcentral lists this ribosomal RNA (407 nucleotides) under uncultured bacterium. Its description in RNAcentral is "partial 16S ribosomal RNA". It matches the Rfam family "Bacterial small subunit ribosomal RNA", at positions 28 to 526 of the family's 1533-position model. The record is from RNAcentral.
GACGAACUCUGGCGGCAGGCCUAACACAUGCAAGUCGAGCGGAGCGGCGGACGGGUGAGUAUUGCCUAGGAAUCUGCCUGGUAGUGGGGGAUAACGUCCGGAAACGGGCGCUACUACCACAUACUCUCAUAUCAGCCUAGGUCGGAUUAGCUAGGUGGUUGGGUAAAGGCCUACCAAGGCGACGAUCCGUAACUGGUCUGCGAGGAUGAUCAGUCACACUGGAACGGAGACACGGUCCAGACUCCUACGGGAGGGAGCAGUGGGAAAUAUUGGACAAUGGGCGAAAGCCUGAUCCAGCCAUGCCGCGUGUGUGAAGAAGGUCUUCGGAUUGUAAAGCACUUUAAGUUGGGAGGCGGUACCAACAGAAUAAGCACCGGCUAACUUCGUGCCAGCAGCCGCGGUAAUUC